GGGUACACGAGCGGCGAACGGGUGAGUAACACGUGGGUGAUCUGCCUCGCACUCUGGGAUAAGCCUGGGAAACUGGGUCUAAUACCGGAUAUGACCUUACAUCGCAUGGUGUUUGGUGGAAAGAUUUAUCGGUGCGAGAUGGGCCCGCGGCCUAUCAGCUUGUUGGUGGGGUAAUGGCCUACCAAGGCGACGACGGGUAGCCGGCCUGAGAGGGCGACCGGCCACACUGGGACUGAGACACGGCCCAGACUCCUACGGGAGGCAGCAGUGGGGAAUAUUGCACAAUGGGCGAAAGCCUGAUGCAGCGACGCCGCGUGAGGGAUGACGGCCUUCGGGUUGUAAACCUCUUUCGACAGGGACGAAGCGCAAGUGACGGUACCUGUAGAAGAAGCACCGGCCAACUACGUGCCAGCAGCCGCGGUAAUACGUAGGGUGCGAGCGUUGUCCGGAAUUACUGGGCGUAAAGAGCUUGUAGGCGGCUUGUCGCGUCGAUCGUGAAAACUUGGGGCUCAACCCCAAGCUUGCGGUCGAUACGGGCAGGCUUGAGUACUUCAGGGGAGACUGGAAUUCCUGGUGUAGCGGUGAAAUGCGCAGAUAUCAGGAGGAACACCGGUGGCGAAGGCGGGUCUCUGGGAAGUAACUGACGCUGAGAAGCGAAAGCGUGGGUAGCGAACAGGAUUAGAUACCCUGGUAGUCCACGCCGUAAACGGUGGGUACUAGGUGUGGGUUUCCUUCCACGGGAUCCGUGCCGUAGCUAACGCAUUAAGUACCCCGCCUGGGGAGUACGGCCGCAAGGCUAAAACUCAAAGGAAUUGACGGGGGCCCGCACAAGCGGCGGAGCAUGUGGAUUAAUUCGAUGCAACGCGAAGAACCUUACCUGGGUUUGACAUACACCGGAAACCUGCAGAGAUGUAGGCCCCCUUGUGGUCGGUGUACAGGUGGUGCAUGGCUGUCGUCAGCUCGUGUCGUGAGAUGUUGGGUUAAGUCCCGCAACGAGCGCAACCCUUAUCUUAUGUUGCCAGCGCGUAAUGGCGGGGACUCGUGAGAGACUGCCGGGGUCAACUCGGAGGAAGGUGGGGACGACGUCAAGUCAUCAUGCCCCUUAUGUCCAGGGCUUCACACAUGCUACAAUGGCCGGUACAGAGGGCUGCGAUACCGUGAGGUGGAGCGAAUCCCUUAAAGCCGGUCUCAGUUCGGAUCGGGGUCUGCAACUCGACCCCGUGAAGUUGGAGUCGCUAGUAAUCGCAGAUCAGCAACGCUGCGGUGAAUACGUUCCCGGGCCUUGUACACACCGCCCGUCACGUCAUGAAAGUCGGUAACACCCGAAGCCGGU
RNAcentral lists this ribosomal RNA (1333 nucleotides) under Nocardia cyriacigeorgica. Its description in RNAcentral is "bacterial SSU rRNA". It matches the Rfam family "Bacterial small subunit ribosomal RNA", at positions 85 to 1431 of the family's 1533-position model. Lineage: Bacteria; Bacillati; Actinomycetota; Actinomycetes; Mycobacteriales; Nocardiaceae. The record is from RNAcentral.